Long non-coding RNA from Tribolium castaneum (red flour beetle), 3885 nucleotides. RefSeq lists it as uncharacterized. NCBI's taxonomy places the organism in Eukaryota, Metazoa, Arthropoda, Insecta, Coleoptera, Tenebrionidae. The record is from RefSeq and is a predicted model, not a curated record. The transcript has 4 exons.
AUUUAAAUCAAAUUUAUUCAAGUACUUGAAAUAAUUUGAUUGUAAUUACGACCGGUUUACAGCAAGCGAUUUAAAUUUAAUUCAGAAUUAUUUUAAUUCGUUUCGUUUCACGUUUUACGAUUCAGUUGACUGCGUAAUUAAAGGCCGGCUUACAGCAAACGAUUUAAAUUUUAAUUCCGAAUUAAAGAAUAAUUUGUUUUCGUUUUCAAUUCAAUUCGGGACGCGAAUCCGUGUAUUUUUAAAUUUAAACAAAUUCAAAUGAAAACAAUCUUUAAUUUUGAAACGAGACAAAUUAACCUUGAACUUGAAUGCGCUUUCACGGCCGGUUUAAUUUAUUUAUUAAAUUUUAAUUUGAAUUUAAAUCAAAUUUAUUCAAGUAUUCGAAAUAAUUUACUUGCAAUCCGGGGCCGGUUUACAGCAAGCGGUUUAAAUUUUAAUUCCGAAUUAAAGAAUAAUUUGUUUUCGUUUUCAAUUCAAUUCGAGGCGCGAAUCCGUGUAUUUUUAAAUUUAAACAAAUUCAAAUGAAACCGAACUUUAAUUUUGAAACGAGACAAAUUAACCUCGAACUUGAAUGCGCUUUCACGGCCGGUUUAAUUUAUUUAUUAAAUUUAAUUUUGAAUUUAAAUCAAAUUUAUUCAAAUACUCGAAAUAAUUUAAUUGCAAUCCGGGGCCGGUUUACAGCAAGCGGUUUAAAGUUUAAUUCCGAAUUAAAGAAUAAUUUGUUUUCGUUUUCAAUUCAAUUCGAGGCGCGAAUCCGUGUAUUUUUAAAUUAAAACAAAUUCAAAUGAAAAUUAACCUUGAACUUGAAUGCACUUUCACGGCCGGUUUAAUUUAUUUGUUAAAUUUAAUUUUGAAUUUAAAUCAAAUUUAUUCAAGUACUUGAAAUAAUUUGAUUGUAAUUACGGACCGGUUUACAGCAAGCGAUUUAAAUUUAAUUCAGAAUUAUUUUAUUUCGUUUCGUUUCACGUUUUACGGUUCAAUUAACUGCGUAAUUAAAGGCCGGCUUACAGCAAACGAUUUAAAUUUUAAUUCCGAAUUAAAGAAUAAUUUGUUUUCGUUUUCAAUUCAAUUCGGGACGCGAAUCCGUGUAUUUUUAAAUUUAAACAAAUUCAAAUGAAAACAAUCUUUAAUUUUGAAACAAGACAAAUUAACCUUGAACUUGAAUGCACUUUCACGGCCGGUUUAAUUUAUUUAUUAAAUUUUAACUUUGAAUUUAAACCAAAUUUAUUCAAGUACUCGAAAUAAUUUAAUUGCAAUCAGGGGCCGGUUAAUUUAUUUUCGUUUUCAAUUCAGUUCGAAGCGCGAAUCCGUUUAAGUUUAAAUUUAAACAAAUUCAAAUGAAAAUUAACCUUGAACUUGAAUACACUGCUGGUUUAAUUUAUUUAUUAAAUUUUAAUUUUGAAUUUAAAUCAAAUUUAUUCAAGUACUUGAAAUAAUUUAAUUGCAAUCCGGGGCCGGUUUACAGCAAGCGAAUUAAAUUUAAUUCCGAAUUAAAGAGUAAUUUAUUGUCAUUUUCAAUUUAAUUCGAAGCGCGAAUCCGUGUAUUUUUAAAUUUAAACAAAUUCAAAUGAAAACGAACUUUAAUUUUGAAACGAGACAAAUUAACCUUGAACUUGAAUGCACUUUCACGGCCGGUUUAAUUUAUUUAUUAAAUUUAAUUUUGAAUUUAAAUCAAAUUUAUUCAAGUAUCCGAAAUAAUUUAAUUGCAAUCCGGGGCCGGUUUACAGCAAGCGAUUUAAAGUUUAAUUCCGAAUUAAAGAAUAAUUUGUUUUCGUUUUCAUUUCAAUUCAAAGUGCGAAUCAGUUUAAGUGUAAAUUUAAACAAACUCAAAUGAAAACGAAUUAUUUUACUUUAGAAUUAGAAUUUGUUCUUUCGGUCCACUUUCGUAAAAAAACAUUACGAUGUAAAUGACUAAUCUGUUAGCAUGACAACUUGUAUAAUACAUAAAAGCUAAUGUCAAGAGUACGCUUUUUGCACCUCAAUAUUUUUUAUGAAAGUGAACCGAAAGUAAUUAAUUCGUUUUAAUCUUUUUGGCUUGGCUGCUGCUGUUGUUUCUAUAGCAUCAUUGGCUUGACACUAAUUUAAUAAAUUUUCACCCUCAUUUUGAGACGUUCUGUAGCAAUAAAUUAUUUUAAAAAGACUCUGAUGCUAUUUAAACAUCAGUAUCAUCUUAAUAGAGGUGUGCUUAACGAUUAAAAUUUAUUUACUGCAAUUAUUUCGUCUUUUAUUUUUAAAUUUAACAUUCAUAUCGUCCUACAAUUUGGUACAAAUACGUAUUGAUAAGCACAUCUCUAAUAAAAAAGGGAAGUAUGUACGUAAUUCGGAAAUAGGUUUCAAGUUUACGUGUUCUGAUGUAACUUUUUUUCACCACUACCGAAAGUAGCCAACAAAAUUCAUAAUUUUUGCGCGUCUUUUCUUUUUCUUCUUCGUAAUAUUAUUGCUUCAAAUGGGAAUAGAUGUAACCGCUGAUGCUGACUGACUGCAGUCAAUUCAUUGAAGAAAAAGCUAUGAAUGCAAUUUUACUUGUGAGAUAUUUUCCUCACUCCAAGUAGUUUUUUGCUUGCGUCACCAUCGCCUACUGGGCCAACCGGGGAUUUUGAAUUAAUUCACAUUGUCGCAUCGAAAACAAAUGGUCUCGUAGCGUGGUGCUGAACCAUUGGGAAAAGGAAACUAUCUGAUGAUUAUAAUAAAAGACGUAAGUGAACGUCGCUCCAACUCAUGGCAUGUUGGGGGAAAAGUGGAGGAAAUAAUAAAAAAAAUUUGGAUUCGAUGGAAUUGACUGAUCUAAUUAUGAUUUCUUAAAAGUGGGUUAGUAUGAUUCUCUUGAAUAAGUGGGCACUGAUUAUUUUCCUAUGACUAAAUUUUAUCAAAAUUGAUCAAAAAAAAAAAAAAUUGCAAACCCCUAGAUUUGUUAAUGUAUCACUGGUGUACUAAGCUCGUAGUAAAAUCGAAUAAAGACUCGAUCUCAUUAAUUUGAGUGUGUUAGUCGUGCUGAUGCUCCUCGAUAGACACAUACCUAUAAACGGUAUUAGUUGUCGUGCAAAUACAUAUCUUAGAUAUGUAGAGGAGAUGCUGCGAGCAUAAAAUAGUACACUAAAUACAGGCAUUUUCUAGGAUGGCUUUGCAUUCAUUAAAAAAAUCACAAAUAUACACAAACUAUAAAAAAAAUAAAAAAAAAUAAAAAAUAAACAAAAUAAAAAAUAAAAAAAAUAAAAAAUAAAAAAAAAUAAAAAAUAAAAAAAAAUAAAAAAUAAAAAAAAUGGUCGCAAAAGGAAAUUAAUCAUUGCCUGUUUAUUUAAGAGAAUUGCUUAGGUAGCCCAAGAAUCAUAAUUAGAUCAGUCAAUUUCAUCGCGUCCGCCUCUGCUUUUCUCCCAUUUGCCAUGAGUUUGAGUGGCGUUCCCGUCUUUUAUUAUAAUCAUCACACUGUUUCCUUUUCCUGGUGGUGUCUGCACUGUGCCACGAGACCAUUGCUUUCGAUGUUUCAUUGUGAGUCAAUUUAAAAUCACCAACUGGCCCUUUUAGUCGAUUAUGGCACCAGCAAGAAUUAUUUGGACUGAGAAUAAAAUAUUUUAUGGAAAUUGUUAUCACAUGUGUUACUUCCACCUUCAAGGGUUGCCCAACACGAAUGCAAAGAUUGCAUUAAACAGUCGCCAAAUGUGCCAACCAUUGCAAUUUCCACUUGGAGUUAUGAAUUUUGAGAGCUCAAAAGCUGGUGUCUGUGUUGAAUUGCUUUACAAACUGGUUGCGGCCUGCGGGAUUCGGAGGAUUUCAAAGGCGUUCUUCGUCUGGUUCUUCAGAAAUUAUUUUUUAACUGACAAUAAUUAUCAUUAAACGUUGUUAUAUUUGUGUGAUUGAUUAUGUUUUUUUUAAUAAACGCUAAGGAAA